RNAcentral lists this ribosomal RNA (589 nucleotides) under uncultured Methanomicrobiales archaeon. RNAcentral describes it as "bacterial SSU rRNA". It matches the Rfam family "Archaeal small subunit ribosomal RNA", at positions 261 to 832 of the family's 1478-position model. Lineage: Archaea; Methanobacteriati; Methanobacteriota; Methanomicrobia; Methanomicrobiales. The record is from RNAcentral.
AAACAGCUAUGACCAUGAUUACGCCAAGCUCAGAAUUAACCCUCACUAAAGGGACUAGUCCUGCAGGUUUAAACGAAUUCGCCCUUACGGGGUGCAGCAGGCGCGAAAACUUUACAAUGCGGGAAACCGUGAUAAGGGAACUCCGAGUGUCCGUCAAUGCGGACUGUCCGUAUGUUUAAAAAGCAUGCGAAGAAAGGGCCGGGCAAGACCGGUGCCAGCCGCCGCGGUAAUACCGGCGGCUCGAGUGGUGGCCACUAUUACUGGGCUUAAAGCGUUCGUAGCUUGGUUGUUAAGUCUCUUGGGAAAUCUAUCGGCUUAACCGAUAGGCGUCCAGGGGAUACUGGCAAUCUAGGGACCGGGAGAGGUGAGGGGUACUUCAGGGGUAGGAGUGAAAUCCUGUAAUCCUUGGGGGACCACCUGUGGCGAAGGCGCCUCACCAGAACGGCUCCGACAGUGAGGGACGAAAGCUGGGGGAGCAAACCGGAUUAGAUACCCGGGUAGUCCCAGCCGUAAACGAUGCACGUUAGGUGUAUCGAUGACCACGAGUCAUCGAGGUGCCGAAGGGAAACCGUGAAACGUGCCGCCUGGG